RNAcentral lists this microRNA precursor (57 nucleotides) under Octodon degus (degu). RNAcentral describes it as "miRNA (ENSODEG00000022183.1)". The record is from RNAcentral. Lineage: Eukaryota; Metazoa; Chordata; Mammalia; Rodentia; Octodontidae.
CUGAGCCAUCUCCCCAGCCCCAACAGUUUAUUAUUGAGGGCUGGGGAGAUGGCGCAG